RNAcentral lists this ribosomal RNA (635 nucleotides) under Williopsis saturnus. RNAcentral describes it as "eukaryotic LSU rRNA". It matches the Rfam family "Eukaryotic large subunit ribosomal RNA", at positions 1 to 604 of the family's 3401-position model. The record is from RNAcentral. Lineage: Eukaryota; Fungi; Ascomycota; Saccharomycetes; Phaffomycetales; Wickerhamomycetaceae.
UAUCAGCUCGGCCUGACAACUCCUUCUAAAGUUUGACCUCAAAUCAGGUAGGACUACCCGCUGAACUUAAGCAUAUCAAUAAGCGGAGGAAAAGAAACCAACAGGGAUUGCCUCAGUAACGGCGAGUGAAGCGGCAAAAGCUCAAAUUUGAAAUCUGGUACCUUUGGUGCCCGAGUUGUAAUUUGAAGAUAGUUUUCUGGUGCUGGCCCUUGUCUAUGUUCCUUGGAACAGGACGUCACAGAGGGUGAGAAUCCCGUCUGGCGGGGUGUCCAGUGCUUUGUAGAUUUCUAUCGACGAGUCGAGUUGUUUGGGAAUGCAGCUCUAAGUGGGUGGUAAAUUCCAUCUAAAGCUAAAUAUUGGCGAGAGACCGAUAGCGAACAAGUACAGUGAUGGAAAGAUGAAAAGAACUUUGAAAAGAGAGUGAAAAAGUACGUGAAAUUGUUGAAAGGGAAGGGUAUUAGAUCAGACUUGGUGUUUUGUGAUUAUCUUCCCUUCUUGGGUUGUGCACUCGCAUUUCACUGGGCCAGCAUCGGUUCGGGUGGUAAGAUAAUGACAUUGGAACGUGGCACUGCCUUCGGGUGGUGUGUUAUAGCCCUUGUUGAUGUUGCCUACCUGGACCGAGGACUGCGGCUUUG